RNAcentral lists this ribosomal RNA (446 nucleotides) under uncultured bacterium. RNAcentral's name for it is "bacterial SSU rRNA". It matches the Rfam family "Bacterial small subunit ribosomal RNA", at positions 329 to 792 of the family's 1533-position model. The record is from RNAcentral.
CGCCAGACUCCUACGGGAGGCAGCAGUGGGGAAUAUUGCACAAUGGGGGAAACCCUGAUGCAGCGACGCCGCGUGAGCGAUGAAGUAUUUCGGCAUGUAAAGCUCUAUCAGCAGGGAAGAAGAUGACGGUACCUGACUAAGAAGCCCCGGCUAACUACGUGCCAGCAGCCGCGGUAAUACGUAGGGGGCAAGCGUUAUCCGGAUUUACUGGGUGUAAAGGGAGCGUAGACGGCGAUGCAAGCCAGAUGUGAAAGCCCGGGGCUCAACCCCGGGACUGCAUUUGGAACUGUGUGGCUGGAGUGUCGGAGAGGCAGGCGGAAUUCCUAGUGUAGCGGUGAAAUGCGUAGAUAUUAGGAGGAACACCAGUGGCGAAGGCGGCCUGCUGGACGAUGACUGACGUUGAGGCUCGAAAGCGUGGGGAGCAAACAGGAUUAGAUACCCCAGUA